This is a long non-coding RNA of Capsicum annuum, 680 nucleotides long. RefSeq lists it as uncharacterized. The record is from RefSeq and is a predicted model, not a curated record. The transcript has 3 exons. Lineage: Eukaryota; Viridiplantae; Streptophyta; Magnoliopsida; Solanales; Solanaceae.
UGAGUCCACAGACUAUAUGAUCUGUCUAUCUGCUUAUGGAGCCGUUAUUGGAGCGUGGUUUGGUGCUUGGCCAAUGGCACUUGAUUGCCAAGGAUUUGAGGUUCUUUGAUAUUUUAGGUUGAAUUUUCUUGAUUUUUUUCAGACAUAGAUGGACAGGAAGUGAUGAAGCUAUUAACGUCAUCCUUAACCAUGACUUUUCAAAAAGUUUGCACUUGCGACACACCAAUUGUUGCAAUGCAUUUGUGGCUGCAGCUUGUUAUGGUAAAUAUAAAGGAGUUACAAAAGAUAAAAUCUGUUACGAAAGAAGGUUGGCAAGUGUUGGAGGGUUCAUUUUGACUAUCAAUAUGCUCGAUCAAGUUAUCUUUUUAUCUCAAGGGACCUUCACCUGGAUCUGACCUGCUCACAAAAUCAGUGAUCACCACUUGCCCCACCCAACUGAUUAUGAAGAACUGAAGUUGUUGUUGCUCCAAAAAGGCACAAAAUAAAUAUUAGUUCGGGUGAGGAUUCCAUGAUGCAAGACGAUAAGCUUUCAGUCUCAAAGGUACUAUUGAGUCCAAGAUUCUGAUGAUCAGUGUAUUCACAAAUACGAGGAUGCUGGAGUUGAGAUGAGAGUGGUUUUAACCUCUGCUAUCUUCAUUCAUCUUGAGGCAAUCCGUAUAUACUCUUUUGAACCUCUUUAG